GCAAAAGAUGUUGUAAAAGCUCUGAAAAGAAGGUUACAACAUAAGAACUCAAAAGUUCAACUACUCUCUUUGACGCUAUUAGAAACAAUGGUAAUGAACUGUGGGGAUUACGUUCACUUCCAAAUUGCCGAGAGGAAUGUAUUAGGGGAGAUGAUCAAAAUUGUGAAGAAGAAGGCAAAUAUGCAAGUGAGGGAGAAAAUCUUGGUCUUGCUUGACUCUUGGC
Long non-coding RNA from Humulus lupulus (European hop), 223 nucleotides. RefSeq lists it as uncharacterized. NCBI's taxonomy places the organism in Eukaryota, Viridiplantae, Streptophyta, Magnoliopsida, Rosales, Cannabaceae. The record is from RefSeq and is a predicted model, not a curated record. The transcript is spliced from 3 exons.